CCUACGGGAGGCAGCAGUGAGGAAUAUUGGUCAAUGGACGAGAGUCUGAACCAGCCAAGUAGCGUGAAGGAUGACUGCCCUAUGGGUUGUAAACUUCUUUUAUAAAGGAAUAAAACGAGGCACGUGUGCCUUUUUGCAUGUACUUUAUGAAUAAGGCUCGGCUAACUCCGUGCCAGCAGCCGCGGUCAUACGGAGGAUCCGAGCGUUAUCCGGAUUUAUUGGGUUUAAAGGGAGCGUAGAUGGGUUGUUAAGUCAGUUGUGAAAGUUUUCGGCUCAACCGUAAAAUUGCAAUUGAUACUGGCAGUCUUGAGUACAGUUGAGGUAGGCGGAAUUCGUGGUGUAGCGGUGAAAUGCUUAGAUAUCACGAAGAACCCCGAUUGCGAAGGCAGCUUACUAAACUGUGACUGACAUUGAUGCUCGAAAGUGUGGGUAGCAAACAGGAUUAGAUACCCUAGUAGUC
This 460-nucleotide ribosomal RNA is filed under the name uncultured bacterium. Its description in RNAcentral is "partial 16S ribosomal RNA". It matches the Rfam family "Bacterial small subunit ribosomal RNA", at positions 338 to 795 of the family's 1533-position model. The record is from RNAcentral.